UGGGGAAUUUUGGACAAUGGGCGCAAGCCUGAUCCAGCCAUGCCGCGUGCGGGAAGAAGGCCUUCGGGUUGUAAAGCUCUGUGGGGAGAGACGAAUAAGCUUUGGCUAAUAUCCAGGGUGAUGACGGUAUCUCCUUAGCAAGCACCGGCUAACUACGUGCCAGCAGCCGCGGUAAUACGUAGGGUGCGAGCGCUAAUCGGAAUUACUGGGCGUAAAGCGUGCGCAGGCGGUUAUGCAAGACAGAUGUGAAAUCCCCGGGCUCAACCUGGGAACUGCAUUUGUGACUGCAUAGCUGGAGUGCGGCAGAGGGGGAUGGAAUUCCGCGUGUAGCAGUGAAAUGCGUAGAUAUGCGGAGGAACACCGAUGGCGAAGGCAAUCCCCUGGGCCUGCACUGACGCUCAUGCACGAAAGCGUGGGGAGCAAACA
RNAcentral lists this ribosomal RNA (426 nucleotides) under uncultured bacterium. Its description in RNAcentral is "bacterial SSU rRNA". It matches the Rfam family "Bacterial small subunit ribosomal RNA", at positions 355 to 774 of the family's 1533-position model. The record is from RNAcentral.